UGGGGAAUAUUGCACAAUGGGCGCAAGCCUGAUGCAGCGACGCCGCGUGAGGGAUGGAGGCCUUCGGGUUGUAAACCUCUUUUAUCGGGGAGCAAGCGAGAGUGAGUUUACCCGUUGAAUAAGCACCGGCUAACUACGUGCCAGCAGCCGCGGUAAUACGUAGGGUGCAAGCGUUAUCCGGAAUUAUUGGGCGUAAAGGGCUCGUAGGCGGUUCGUCGCGUCCGGUGUGAAAGUCCAUCGCUUAACGGUGGAUCCGCGCCGGGUACGGGCGGGCUUGAGUGCGGUAGGGGAGACUGGAAUUCCCGGUGUAACGGUGGAAUGUGUAGAUAUCGGGAAGAACACCAAUGGCGAAGGCAGGUCUCUGGGCCGUUACUGACGCUGAGGAGCGAAAGCGUGGGGAGCGAACAGGAUUAGAUACCCUGGUAGUCCACGCCGUAAACGGUGGAUGCUGGAUGUGGGGCCCGUUCCACGGGUUCCGUGUCGGAGCUAACGCGUUAAGCAUCCCGCCUGGGGAGUACGGCCGCAAGGCUA
RNAcentral lists this ribosomal RNA (531 nucleotides) under uncultured Bifidobacterium sp. Its description in RNAcentral is "bacterial SSU rRNA". It matches the Rfam family "Bacterial small subunit ribosomal RNA", at positions 355 to 896 of the family's 1533-position model. Lineage: Bacteria; Bacillati; Actinomycetota; Actinomycetes; Bifidobacteriales; Bifidobacteriaceae. The record is from RNAcentral.